GCCUACGGCCAUACCACCCUGAAAGCGCCUGAUCUCGUCUGAUCUCGGAAGCUAAGCAGGGACGGGCUUGGUUAGUACCUGGAUGGGAGACCGCCUGGGAAUACCAGGUGUUGUAGGCU
Ribosomal RNA from Xenopus tropicalis (tropical clawed frog), 119 nucleotides. The record is from Ensembl. NCBI's taxonomy places the organism in Eukaryota, Metazoa, Chordata, Amphibia, Anura, Pipidae.